UUGGAGGGCAAGUCUGGUGCCAGCAGCCGCGGUAAUUCCAGCUCCAAUAGCGUAUAUUAAAGUUGUUGCAGUUAAAAAGCUCGUAGUUGAAUUUCGGGAUCAGAGUGUCGGUCGUGCCUCGGUACGCACUGGUAUUAUUGGUUCCUGCCUUCUGAAGAACCGCGAUGUCAUUAAUUUGGUGUCGUGGGGAAUCAGGCCUGUUACUUUGAAAAAAUUAGAGUGUUUAAAGCAGGCUUACGCUUGAAUACAUUAGCAUGGAAUAAUGAAAUAGGACGUUUGAUUCUAUUUUGUUGGUUUCUAGGAUUGACGUAAUGAUUAAUAGGGAUAGUUGGGGGCAUUAGUAUUCAAUUGUCAGAGGUGAAAUUCUUGGAUUUAUUGAAGACUAACUACUGCGAAAGCAUUUGCCAAGGAUGUUUUCAUUAAUCAAGAACGAAAGUUAGGGGAUCGAAGACGAUCAGAUACCGUCGUAGUCUUAACCAUAAACUAUGCCGACUAGGGAUCGGAUGAUGUUAACUUUUUAAUGACUCAUUCGGUGCCUUACGGGAAACCAAAGUGUUUGGGUUC
Molecule: ribosomal RNA, 564 nt
Filed under: uncultured Glomeromycotina
Lineage: Eukaryota; Fungi; Glomeromycota
Description: SSU rRNA
Rfam family: Eukaryotic small subunit ribosomal RNA
Source: RNAcentral